AUUGAACGCUGGCGGCAGGCCUAACACAUGCAAGUCGAGCGGAUGAAGGGAGCUUGCUCCUGGAUUCAGCGGCGGACGGGUGAGUAAUGCCUAGGAAUCUGCCUGGUAGUGGGGGAUAACGUCCGGAAACGGGCGCUAAUACCGCAUACGUCCUGAGGGAGAAAGUGGGGGAUCUUCGGACCUCACGCUAUCAGAUGAGCCUAGGUCGGAUUAGCUAGUUGGUGGGGUAAAGGCCUACCAAGGCGACGAUCCGUAACUGGUCUGAGAGGAUGAUCAGUCACACUGGAACUUAGACACGGUCCAGACUCCUAAGGGAGGCAGCAGUGGGGAAUAUUGGACAAUGGGCGAAAGCCUGAUCCAGCCAUGCCGCGUGUGUGAAGAAGGUCUUCGGAUUGUAAAGCACUUUAAGUUGGGAGGAAGGGCAGUAAGUUAAUACCUUGCUGGUUUGACGUUACCAACAGAAUAAGCACCGGCUAACUUCGUG
RNAcentral lists this ribosomal RNA (484 nucleotides) under uncultured bacterium. RNAcentral's name for it is "partial 16S ribosomal RNA". It matches the Rfam family "Bacterial small subunit ribosomal RNA", at positions 30 to 507 of the family's 1533-position model. The record is from RNAcentral.